CAGCAGCCACGGUAAAACGAAGGGUGCAAGCGUUACUCGGAAUUACUGGGCGUAAAGCGUGCGUAGGUGGUGGUUUAAGUCCGUUGUGAAAGCCCUGGGCUCAACCUGGGAAUUGCAGUGGAUACUGGGUCACUAGAGUGUGGUAGAGGAUAGUGGAAUUUCCGGUGUAGCAGUGAAAUGCGUAGAGAUCGGAAGGAACAUCUGUGGCGAAGGCGACUAUCUGGGCCAACACUGACACUGAGGCACGAAAGCGUGGGGAGCAAACAGGAUUAGAUACCCGUGUAGUCCCUGUCUCUUAUAC
RNAcentral lists this ribosomal RNA (301 nucleotides) under uncultured bacterium. Its description in RNAcentral is "partial 16S ribosomal RNA". It matches the Rfam family "Bacterial small subunit ribosomal RNA", at positions 509 to 807 of the family's 1533-position model. The record is from RNAcentral.